RNAcentral lists this ribosomal RNA (305 nucleotides) under uncultured bacterium. Its description in RNAcentral is "bacterial SSU rRNA". It matches the Rfam family "Bacterial small subunit ribosomal RNA", at positions 337 to 659 of the family's 1533-position model. The record is from RNAcentral.
UCCUACGGGUCUCAUCAUUAUUUAAUAUUUCUCAAUUUUUUAAACCCUGAAGCAGCAACGCCGCGUGGAGGAUGAAGGUUUUCGGAUUGUAAACUCCUUUUGUUAGAGAAGAUAAUGACGGUAUCUAACGAAUAAGCACCGGCUAACUCCGUGCCAGCAGCCGCGGUAAUACGGAGGGUGCAAGCGUUACUCGGAAUCACUGGGCGUAAAGAGCGCGUAGGCGGGAUAGCAAGUCAGAUGUGAAAUCCUAUGGCUUAACCAUAGAACUGCAUUUGAAACUGUUAUUCUAGAGUAUGGGAGAGGUA